Molecule: ribosomal RNA, 426 nt
Filed under: uncultured bacterium
Lineage: Bacteria
Description: bacterial SSU rRNA
Rfam family: Bacterial small subunit ribosomal RNA
Source: RNAcentral
UGAGGAAUCUUGCGCAAUGGGGGGAACCCUGACGCAGCAACGCCGCGUGAGUGAGGAAGGCUUUCGGGUCGUAAAGCUCUGUCAGAUGGGAAGAAAUGGAUGGAAGCCAAUACCUUUCAUUCUUGACGGUACCAUCAGAGGAAGCACCGGCUAACUCCGUGCCAGCAGCCGCGGUAAUACGGGGGGUGCAAGCGUUGUUCGGAAUCAUUGGGCGUAAAGCGCGCGCAGGCGGCUUGGUAAGUCAGAUGCGAAAUCCCUGGGCUUAACGCAGGAAGUGAAUUUGAGAGUGCCUCGGUAGAGUACGGGAGAGGAAAGUGGAAUUCCUGGUGUAGAGGUGAAAUUCGUAGAUAACAGGAGGAACAACGGUGGCGAAGGCGACUUUCUGGCGCGAUACUGACGCUCAGGCGCGAAAGCGUGGGGAGCAAA